This 1481-nucleotide long non-coding RNA is filed under the name Dromaius novaehollandiae (emu). RNAcentral describes it as "lncRNA (ENSDNVG00000003416.1)". Lineage: Eukaryota; Metazoa; Chordata; Aves; Casuariiformes; Dromaiidae. The record is from RNAcentral.
CAUUUUAUUGCCUGCAUCUUCUAGAUGUAAAAUGGAUCUUUGGGGCUUUUUUUUCACCUCCAACCUUCUUCAUUCCUUUCUGUUCUGAAUGACAAAUAUGUGGUCUGUAUUAUGGCCAAGGAGACAUGAUGUAUGAAAAUGGCAUCUGCUUUCUCUGUGGGUUUAGUGUACAUUUUUAAUCAAUAUCUGCCCAUUUUACUACCUGUGAAACCUCACCUUUUUUUUCUUUUCUGAGCAAGUUGUAAAUACAGUGUCAAUUUACAUUGCAUUUAAAGCACACAAAAUCUUGCUUGGCAUUUUUCACCAGGCCUCAGAGUUACCACGCUGUCAUGCAUACCUUGUAAAGCAGAAAGUGCACUUGGUGAUGCAUGCUCCCUCCUCAAAACAAGCUAGCAUUUGUCAGUUCACUGGACAAAAUUGGCAGUGUCCUUAUGUUGGAGCCAAAUCAAAAUUCAGAUCAUGGCUAAAGACGCAGCAGUAGCCACACAACAUGCUUUGCUUUUCCCAGGAUCCAUCCUGCCUCUUUCUCUGUCCCUUUCUGGGCCUCCUCGUGUGCAUCUUCACCUUUAAUGCUACGUGCUUUUUAAAUUUUAAUUAGUGAAAUUACUCUUUAGUUACUGGACAUUGUUGUCUUCACCAACAAUGUUUUCCUCAGGAAAGCAGCCCAUUCGGCUCAUUCAUUUCAUACCAGCCUGCAUGUGUACUGUUUGCUCACCUUUCACUUUCAGUAGUCAAGUCUAGAGAUUAACUAUUUUUCCACUUACCCUCCCUGCCAGCCACACACAAGAAGAUGGAGAAACAGAGGCACACACAUAGUUCAUAAAAAUAAUACCAAAGCCCCUCAUUCCUCACAGGGAGUUUAUGUAGGGGUACAGAAGAGUUGCCCAAAGGUUCUUGAAGUUCUGCUUAAAGUGAGAGUUAAGUAUUUCUAGUUCAUGUUUGCAAAUGGAGAGACAUUUUAGUAGUCUGCAACUGAUGACUUGCAUCCUUUAAGAACAGAGCCUGGUUUAUUGAGGGGAAACAUGUUGCCGCUUGUGAUUAAAUACACUUUAUGGUCUCUGUGAGGACUUUGUAAAAAGGCCAAUCCUAUCAAUGGUUAACCAUGUCAAUAACAAGACUGGGAAAAUUGUUAAUGAUAUAUUUCACUUAGAGUGCAGUCAUCACCAGCAGUGUGCCAGGCUUCCUGAUUUACUGCACGAAUAAUGCAGUCAGGAGCAUCAGGACUACCUCACUUGGAAUAUUUCCUUCCAAAAUGCAGUGUUAUGUAAGGACCAAAUUCUCUCCAGUCAUGGUAGGUUUGAUUUCAUCUUUGUCUUCCCAAAGCUGGGAUGACAGCAGUAACUUGUGCUAGAGAGUCCUUGGCCUUGGACCAUCUCAGUUCCCGCACAUUAUGCUGACUGGACCCUUUUGUUAUGCAAACGCUGAAUCAAGCUGACUGUAGUGGAAGAAAGGAGCUAGUUUGCACUGGCAGGUGGCCCUGU